CUCCACCAACAGAGGAUACAACAAAGCUACAAAGAGCCCAAACAACCAAAACAACGACCAACAAGGAGAUCGGGUAGGAUGGUAAGUUCAAAUCAACAACAUUGCUCAUAAAGAGACUUAGAGAUAAGGGUGAAUCACCGAAAGGAAACAGCGUCUCCUGAGUCAAACAGUCAACAAAAGCUGAACGGGAACCGUCUUGGACAACAAUCCUCGCUUCUGCAAGCAGAACAAUCUUGACAACCAUGCUCCCUAUAACAAUACCACUAUA
Molecule: long non-coding RNA, 268 nt
Filed under: Capsella grandiflora
Lineage: Eukaryota; Viridiplantae; Streptophyta; Magnoliopsida; Brassicales; Brassicaceae
Description: long non-coding RNA (CGRA_LNC000475)
Source: RNAcentral